RNAcentral lists this ribosomal RNA (305 nucleotides) under uncultured bacterium. RNAcentral's name for it is "bacterial SSU rRNA". It matches the Rfam family "Bacterial small subunit ribosomal RNA", at positions 337 to 635 of the family's 1533-position model. The record is from RNAcentral.
UCCUACGGGGCGCAGCAGUAGGGAAUUUUCGUCAAUGGGCGCAAGCCUGAACGAGCAAUGCCGCGUGAACGAGGAAGGUCUUCGGAUCGUAAAGUUCUGUUGAAGGGGAAAAAGAGCGGCGAGAGGAAAUGGUCUCCGAUUGAUAUUACCCUUCGAGGAAGUCACGGCUAACUACGUGCCAGCAGCCGCGGUAAUACGUAGGUGGCGAGCGUUAUCCGGAAUGAUUGGGCGUAAAGGGUGCGUAGGCGGCAUGCUAAGUCUGGAGUGAAAGGUACCGGCUCAACCUGUACAGGCUCUGGAAACUG